RNAcentral lists this ribosomal RNA (497 nucleotides) under uncultured bacterium. Its description in RNAcentral is "partial 16S ribosomal RNA". It matches the Rfam family "Bacterial small subunit ribosomal RNA", at positions 28 to 507 of the family's 1533-position model. The record is from RNAcentral.
GAUGAACGCUGUCGGCGUGCCUAAUACAUGCAAGUCGAGCGAACGAACGAGAAGCUUGCUUCUCUGAUGUUAGCGGCGGACGGGUGAGUAACACGUGGAUAACCUACCUAUAAGACUGGGAUAACUUCGGGAAACCGGAGCUAAUACCGGAUGAUAUUUUGAACCGCAUUGUUCAAAAGUGAAAGACGGUCUUUCUGUCACUUAUAGAUGGAUCCGCGCUGCAUUAGCUAGUUGGUAAGGUAACGGCUUACCAAGGCAACGAUGCAUAGCCGACCUGAGAGGGUGAUCGGCCACACUGGAACUGAGACACGGUCCAGACUCCUACGGGAGGCAGCAGUAGGGAAUCUUCCGCAAUGGGCGAAAGCCUGACGGAGCAACGCCGCGUGAGUGAUGAAGGUCUUCGGAUCGUAAAACUCUGUUAUUAGGGAAGAACAAAAGUGUAAGUAACUGUGCACAUCUUGACGGUACCUAAUCAGAAAGCCACGGCUAACUACGUG